UCAAUAGCAGAUAUAGUACUUGAUCACUAUGGUCCAUACUAACUACAAUUCAAUUACAUUUGGUGAGGUACUUGGACUAACUAUUAUAUUUCUGUAGUUAUAGUGUAGCUAAUGUGCAGCAAUCUGUUAUAGUUUUUAAUAAAUCCAAAUUGUAGUUAAUCUGUAUUUGUUUUAAAGAUAAAUGUGGUUACAUUGUAGCUUAUUCGAUAUGUUUAUUCUAUUUCGGCAGCACAUUGAUGUUAUUAUGUAUUAUUUGCAAAAAAGUAGGCAAAUAUGGCCCCAACAACAAUAAUAGGUUCACAACAACCGAUUGCUUGUUCAAGACAAAGAUUGAAAGAAUCUAUGACAAGUUCAUAAGUUCUCCACCGGAACAAAGGUAUUCGUUUGUUAAAACUGAGGAUGAUGUUGGAGAAUAUAUUCUCAGGUAUAUCAUUCUUGCUAAUGUUGCCUGGGAUCUUGUUAGUUGUUAAACCAGAUAAUGAUGUUGGAGAAUAUAUUCUGUGGUACAGAAUUCUUGAUAAUGUUGCCUGGGACCUUGUUAACUAUGUGCUCAUGCCUGUGAGCCUAGUAGAGAACUUCCAUUGGUUGUUGCUAGUUUUUGACAUAAUAGGCAGGCAACUUUAUGGUAAGAGCAAACCGUCAUAAAACAGUUGAGACAUUGGUUGAAAAGUUUUCAAUCAUUAUCCAUCUGUAGUUAUCAUGCACUGGUUUCUAUGGUAUACGUAAAGACAUUAACUUCAGGACCACGAAGGCAUACAUCGAGAAACCAGUUACGGACCCUCUCGAUAUACAAUGGAUGGUUGCUGAGAUUCCACAACAAAAGG
RNAcentral lists this long non-coding RNA (824 nucleotides) under Nicotiana benthamiana. Its description in RNAcentral is "long non-coding RNA (NBEN_LNC016991)". The record is from RNAcentral. Lineage: Eukaryota; Viridiplantae; Streptophyta; Magnoliopsida; Solanales; Solanaceae.